CGCGGGGACCCCGGGUGGCCCCGCGGUGCGAGCUCACGACUUCCUCCCGGUUCCCGGCCUGCGGCAAAGCCGUGCGCACCGCGGCGCUGUGGCCGUGGGGGCUCACGGGCCACGUAGCGGUGCUCAGGGGUAUCUCAGCUCCCCACCCCCGUCUGUCUGUCUGUCUGUCUUCCGAGACAGGGUUUCUCUGCCUCGUAACUCAGAGAUCCGCCCGCCUCGGCCUCCCGAGUGCUGGGGUCCCAGGCGCGCGCCGCUGCGCCCCGCCCCCACACCGGGCUUUCACACGCGUCUUUUUAAAAAAUAAUAAUAACCCUUAACAGUUUGCCUGCGGGUCCGGGUCGGGGGUGGCUGGGGAGAGGCGCAGGCUUCAGGCACCCACCCGCCGGCUCACAACCGCCCGUGCAGUCCCAGGGCCCCACGCCCUCUGCUGGCCCCGCAGGCACGCACAGGCAGGCGCGAAGGGAUUCGCCGGGGCUGCCUGGGAGCCUGACAAGGGAGUCCAGUCAGUGGAAGCCACGCAAAGGUGGAAGGGCGCGACCAACUCCAGAGUUGUCUGCUAAUCUGCUUGUUACGACACGCAUGUGCACGCAUGCACACACACACUAAAUACUUUCAUUUCUUUUAUCUUUUUGUGUUUUUGAGGCAGGGAUUCUCCGUGUGGCUCAUCACAGGUAUUUUUCAGAGGCCUGCUGAAUUAUGAUUUCCAUAGGCAUUUAGAUACAGUCAGAAGCCUAAGGCUGCGUGGGCCUGGAUGACGUCAGCGGGAGGCCUCAUGUGGCCCUCCAGUGUUCUCCAGGGUGAAAUGUAAGCCCCAGAAACUGGAGCGGCCAUCCUUUUGUCACAGACCUCUAGGGACCUCGGGGCGGACAGACCAGCCGUAUUUAACUUCGCCUCAGUGGCUUUCUUGUGCUGCGGCUGGGUGGUGGUCUUCUGUGGCCUUGCCCUUUGCCUGGACCAUGUCAGGAGAACUCCGGGCUGAGACUGCACACCCUGGCAAAGACCGUGGGCCCUUUCCCCUGCCUCCUCGGGGACUUCAGCACGGUGGCAUGCCCAUGUCUGCAACCCCAGCUGGGCCUCUGUGGCAGCAUCAAUGGCUUCUCGCUCCCACCAGACUGCAACUCCUCAACUGGCCAUGGCCACUCCCCCACUGGGGGGAGGGGGAGAAGAGAAACAAAGAAACCAACAAAACCUAAACAAAACCGAAAACCCUGUCAGCAGAAGGCUCGAACUGAGUUUCUCCAGAUGUUUUUUAAUAUUUGUUUAGUGUAUGUGUGUGUGAGAGAGAGGGAGAGAGUGAGAGCAUGCACAUUUAAGAAGGGCAGAGACAGCUCGAGGGGGGUCAGUUCUCUUUCCAUCCUGUGGGCUCUGGGAUCAAAGCCUGGGUAUCAAGCGCAUCACCUACUGAGCUGUCUCACUGCCCAGGAUAGUUCACUGGCUUUGUUCUGUAUUUUUUUUUAAGCAGGGUCCCGUGUAUCCCACCGUGGCCUCGAACUUUCUGUGUAGCGUGUGGCAAAGGAUGGCCUCGAGUGACCCUCCCACCUCCACCUCCCAGGGCUGCCUUGGUCUUGCAGGUUUAUGUUGUACUGGACACCAGAGCCAGGCCUUCCUGAAGGCCAGACAAGCAGGCUUCGGACCUAGCUGCAGCCCAAAGGGUUGUGCCUGGCAGUGAAUGUGGAGGAGCUCUUCCCAGCCUCCUCUUCUCCUUGAGCCCUAGUUACACCGGGAUGCAGUGACUGUGAGUGCCACAGGAGGGAGAGCUAGCAAAGGCGGGCAGUGCGGUUAUCUGAAAAUCUCUCGGGAAGCACACCCCCACCCCAGGGUACUGUACAGAGCACAGAGCGCCUGUAAAGGACAUUCUUUUUAGACAAAACUAGCAGGGCUUGAUUUCAGAAGGGUGAUUCCUGAGGCUGGGGUCCAGGAAACUGUGCCCCAUGUGGUUCUGACUCCCUGGACUCCCCAACACAGGUGUUCAUGCUUCCUCAUCCUGGUGGCCACUGUGCACCACAAGUUCAUCACAGGGCGAGGAAGGACUGCCCACCCCCACCCGCCCUGGAGGCGGGGAGAGACGUCCAGUCCGCUCUGUGUGUCAGAGGCCUGGGAGCGAUCGUCUUCCUGAUUGAUGAAACGAUAACUCCGGUACCAGCCCCUCCCAUUGCUGGACUGGGCACUAUACACGGAAGUGAGAUGGAAAAACUCACUCCCAGAUACAAACACAGAAGAACCCGGCUUCUGCAUGGACACACCUCCCGGAAAAGCCUGGAUGUACCUCAGUUCUUUGUGUCCUGACGUAGGGGACUGUGGGUGUGGGUUCCCAGAGUGAGUGUGCAUAGCUCAGGCCAUGACUGGUGUACAUCUUCCAGACCCCAGUCUCAAAUAGGGCUCACCUCGGCCAACACAGAACUUGCUCGGUCCCUAAAGCCCUCCCUCCCUCACCGUGUUCCUCUAGUGCCUGGUGCUGUCACUCAGCACACAGCAGGUUCUCAGUACCUGCUUAGCAAUGCCUGGCUGUCAACAGAGCCAAGAACAAAGGCGGAGGGGUCAUGCAGAGAAGCUGAGGCUCGGCACCAUGAAGAGAGCCUACUGGUGAAGGUGCAGCCCGCUUGCAGCUAGGGACCCCAGCAGUUUCGGCGAUGCCGGCACCAUGGGACGACCACCAAGGAGGGCAGCAGCGGUGCCGGGGAGCCAGCCGGGGCCGGAAGACCAGCGGUGAGUGCUGCAGAGGGAGGAGCUGGAGCAGGGCCUUUGGUGGCGCCCAGAACAUAGUGUGUGCUUCCCCACCGGUGGGCACGGGCUUGUCUACACUGCUGGGGUUUGGUUUUGCCUGAUUCAGACUGUGGCUGUGCCCUGGCUCUUCCCUCUAGAAGGCGGCAUUUGAUUGCAUUUUGAUUUUUAACAGGAGCUCAUAACCUUGAACUUUUUAAAAGAGAUUUUGGAUUUUUAAAGAGAUUGACACAGCCUAGAGUCGUCAGAGGGGAAGGAGCCUCAGCUGAGGAAAUGCCCCCAAGAGAUCCAGCUGUAAGGCAUUUUUCAGUUAGUGAUCAGUGGGGUUCAGCCCAUGGUGGGUGGUCCAUCCCUGGGCUGGUGGUCCUGGGUUCUACAAGAAAGCAGGCUGAGCAAGCCACGAGGAGCAAGGCAGUAAGCAGCACCAUCCAUGGCCUCUGCCUCAGCUCCUGCUCCAAGUUCCUGCCCUGAUUAAAUUCCUGUCCCGACUUCCUUCAGUAAUGAACAGCAGUGUGGAAUUGUGAGCUGAAUAAACCCUUUCCUCCCCAGCUUGCUUUUUAGUCAUGGUGUUGGUCACAGCAAUUGAAAACCUGACUAGGACAAGCUGGUAACUUCACAGUGGGGUACGGCUGUGACAGGCCGACCAUGUGUUUGGGGAGGACUGUGGGACUUCGGGCUAGGAGAGCAAGUGAGUGUUGAGAGCUCAACAACACUCUCAACACUGGAAGUGGGGGCGUGGAAGGUAGGAAUGUGGGGGCAGUGGAGAAGAUGGCCAUCUGGCGUGGGAAGCUUCAGAGGGAAGGUUAAAGACUGUCAGGGCCGUUUGCUAUCUUGAUUCGAGAUUCUGUGGUUCAGCUGGGGCUGAAGAGUCAGCGUGAUGAACGAGACAGCAGAACUGCUAAGGUGAAACCUUCGAGUUCCUGGAUAGUGGAUGCUGGUCAGCUGGAGCUAAGACAGCAGUGAUUGGGACGAGACCAGCUGGGCUGGAGAGAUGGCUCAGAGGUUAAGAGCACUGGCUGCUCUUCCAAAGGUUGGGCAUGGCAGCACACACUUGUCAUCUUAGCACAUGGAGGUGGAGGCAGAAGGAUCAAGGAUCAGAGCCGGCCUGGAGACCCUGUGUCAAAAGACCAAAGCUGCUGCCUCUGGCUCCAGCUCUGGCUCACACAGCACUACACGGUAGCGGUGACAGGACACGCAGCUCUGAAGGACACAGCAUUUGCUCAGGCAGGAAUGCACCAGGAUGGAGAGCACGCUCUACGGAUGCCGG
This is a long non-coding RNA of Meriones unguiculatus (Mongolian gerbil), 3988 nucleotides long. RefSeq lists it as uncharacterized. Lineage: Eukaryota; Metazoa; Chordata; Mammalia; Rodentia; Muridae. The transcript is spliced from 3 exons. The record is from RefSeq and is a predicted model, not a curated record.